UACAGAGGGUGCAAGCGUUGUUCGGAAUUAUUGGGCGUAAAGGGAGUGUAGGCGGUUUGGUAAGUCUUCUGUGAAAUCUACGGGCUUAGCCUGUAAAGUGCAGAGGAAACUGUCAAACUUGAGUGUCGGAGAGGAUAGGGGAAUACCCGGUGUAGAGGUGAAAUUCGUAGAGAUCGGGUGGAACACCAGUGGCGAAGGCGCCUGUCUGGCUGACAACUGACGCUGAGACUCGAAAGCAUGGGGAGCAAACAGG
RNAcentral lists this ribosomal RNA (253 nucleotides) under uncultured bacterium. Its description in RNAcentral is "partial 16S ribosomal RNA". It matches the Rfam family "Bacterial small subunit ribosomal RNA", at positions 524 to 776 of the family's 1533-position model. The record is from RNAcentral.